AGUGACCGCGGAGUGCCGCGUGUUAAUGAUAAGGGUCUGUCCGAAUUCACUCGUGUUUCCCCGCUACUUAGUCAACUAAACAGAAUUCCGGAGGAGCCGCUCGCUGCAGCCUGUAGGAAGGCGGAGUUGGACAUCCAACCCCGCCCACAUCCAACUCCGCCCAUGUCCAACUCCGCCUUACGUCUAAAGCAACACCCACCUUACGUCCGUCACGAACGCCUACAUUUACUCCAGGUAAACAGGAAUUGUAGCCGAGAAAGCAGCUAAAGCAUCUAUCUGAUUUAUAUCUCCGGUUAUGGCGCAUCCAACACAUGUCCAGGCCACUCCUGACCCUUCACGGUUUGGCCAGUGUGGUGUUUUCAAAUGCCCCUGCUUCAGUUUUGACACUGACCAGCGAUUUAAUAACAGCCUACAUCUACAAAACCAUAUCAAACAAGCAGUCGAGAAUAACGGAAAGUUCAGCGUGUUGAACGUGUGACUGAUGAAGGAGAUAGAAUGGGCAACGUCUCCUUUGAACAGAUGCCCCUUAUUCUCAUAGAUACAGUUCUGGAUGAGGGUGACAAAGCUUUUUUAAAGCUGUCACUGGUUUGUCGUCUCUUCCGGGACAUUGUUUGGACAACAAUCAUUCCGGGCCUGGGCACAUUUCGAGUGGCUUGACAGUGUAGUGCCAUGAAAACAUCACAGUGCUGCAUGUAAAGACGAGUUUCGCAGGAUGUACGAACUGCAGUGCUGCCAGAACUGUCAAGAAACUUAUAAAGACUACAUACUGGGCUACGUUGGGCAUGGGAGACGAGGGGAGCUUGUGGCAUUUUACAGCGAAAACGAGCACCCUGGAUUCUGCAACCAGCUUCAUGAAUGGCUGGGUGUGUGAGUGGCUGGGUGUGUGAGUGGCUGAGUGUGAGUGGCUGGGUGUUGCAUUUUUAAAUAAAGACUUCUGUAUUUGUUUGACCAAAGCAUGUAACCAAACAUUUUAAAGGCUAGUGUGCCAAUAAAUGCCAAUAAAGAUAUUGUAUUAGCUUGGACAAA
Astyanax mexicanus (Mexican tetra) is the source of this 1026-nucleotide long non-coding RNA. RefSeq lists it as uncharacterized. The record is from RefSeq and is a predicted model, not a curated record. The transcript is spliced from 6 exons. NCBI's taxonomy places the organism in Eukaryota, Metazoa, Chordata, Actinopteri, Characiformes, Acestrorhamphidae.